Siniperca chuatsi (mandarin fish) is the source of this 938-nucleotide long non-coding RNA. RefSeq lists it as uncharacterized. The record is from RefSeq and is a predicted model, not a curated record. The transcript has 3 exons. NCBI's taxonomy places the organism in Eukaryota, Metazoa, Chordata, Actinopteri, Centrarchiformes, Sinipercidae.
AUCCUAUCGUGACAAAAGGGCGACAACCAACAGGUGAUAGCCGAUGAUGGGGCUGCCUCCAUCUUUGGCUGGAGGCUCCCAUUCAACCACCAUGCUGUACUUUGUCACUGCGGACGCAAAGGGGGUGCCAGGAGCAGUGGGCACACUAAAAGGAUAUUGUGCAGUUACAAGAGGAGAGGGCCGGGUUGAACUUUAGGGUUGUGUUCUCCGUUCUCUGCAGAAGUGGCAUGCUGACCUGGUGUGAGAAAAGAAAAGCAUCAAACAAGUACAACAUUAGAACAUUAAAUCACUGUGCAGACUCAGACUAAUUAUACAAAAUGUAUAUGGUACUUAGUAAGCCAAAUCAAUCUAUGUGACUAUCUGACCAUUAAAAUAUGGAUACAGUAUUUAAUUUGCUUUCAAUGUAUUAUAAUUUAUUGUGUAUUCUGAAAAUUUGGCUUCCCAGAAAAAAAAAUUAUGACAUACUGUAUAUUAAGUAGGUCAUAACAAGAUAUGCCUUAGGUCAAUUCUUAAUAAUGUUUGAGACUAUUAUAGAAUGUCAUAAAACUGCUUGAAUUACUUUUAAUAUAGGCCUAUCUGAGCACAAAUUUUAUUCUAGACCUUUGGUAACAAUAUAUGUGACAAAUUAAUCCAAGCUCAAAGGUCUACAUACUAACUAGACCUAGUAUCUCUAGCUAGUAUCUCACAGUAAUAACACCACCAGGAGCAGUUUGAAGCUCCAGAAAGUUAAUAAGUAGAUGUUUGAAUUUAGAUUAUUUUUGUUACACUUUAUUAUGAAUCUUAUAUUAUUUGUUCCACACAUGUAUGUUUAUUGCAUUUAUCUUUUAUUUUUUAUAACUGUUUAAAUGUGAUUUAAUUUAAAUUUAAAUUUAAAGGAAUGUAUUAAUAUUCACUAUCUAGACUACACAGUGAUAGGAUGAAUGCAUGACAUACCUUGG